Echinostoma caproni is the source of this 45-nucleotide non-coding RNA. Lineage: Eukaryota; Metazoa; Platyhelminthes; Trematoda; Plagiorchiida; Echinostomatidae. The record is from Rfam.
GCACUGCUGACGAGUCCUCAACAGGACGAAACAGCUGUCCAGUGC